Molecule: long non-coding RNA, 215 nt
Filed under: Phoenix dactylifera (date palm)
Lineage: Eukaryota; Viridiplantae; Streptophyta; Magnoliopsida; Arecales; Arecaceae
Description: long non-coding RNA (PDAC_LNC017178)
Source: RNAcentral
AAAGAACUUAGUGCGCCUAUUUGCUUAUUUACUGAUGUCAAUUUUUUAUCAGGUAUUUUCAUCUAAUUGUUGCAUUUUGUUUACCAUGCAGAAAGAAGUAGACAUUGUUUAUGGCUGGAUCACAUGGAAUACAGUGGAUAUGCAAUGGAGGGGCCUGCUCAAGUGAAGCAUGAGAUUUUGGUUCUUACCUUCUCGGUCAAUGUAAUAUCUGAUUU